GACUACUGGGGUAUCUAAUCCUGUUUGCUCCCCACGCUUUCGCACCUCAGUGUCAGUAUCAGUCCAGGUGGUCGCCUUCGCCACUGGUGUUCCUUCCUAUAUCUACGCAUUUCACCGCUACACAGGAAAUUCCACCACCCUCUACCGUACUCUAGUCAGUCAGUUUUGAAUGCAGUUCCCAGGUUGAGCCCGGGGAUUUCACAUCCAACUUAACUAACCACCUACGCGCGCUUUACGCCCAGUAAUUCCGAUUAACGCUUGCACCCUCUGUAUUACCGCGGCUGCUGGCACAGAGUUAGCCGGUGCUUAUUCUGUCGGUAACGUCAAAACAAUCACGUAUUAGGUAACUGCUCUUCCUCCCAACUUAAAGUGCUUUACAAUCCGAAGACCUUCUUCACACACGCGGCAUGGCUGGAUCAGGCUUUCGCCCAUUGUCCAAUAUUCCCCACUGCAGCCCCCCGUAGG
RNAcentral lists this ribosomal RNA (465 nucleotides) under uncultured Pseudomonas sp. RNAcentral describes it as "partial 16S ribosomal RNA". Lineage: Bacteria; Pseudomonadati; Pseudomonadota; Gammaproteobacteria; Pseudomonadales; Pseudomonadaceae. The record is from RNAcentral.